GGCUGGGUCCUGCGCAACGGCCUCCUGUGAAUCGAGUCAGGGUCGGAAGGCAGCAGCUCUCAGCGGGUCCGGUCGUGUGCCGUAGUCAACCUGGCCACC
RNAcentral lists this signal recognition particle RNA (99 nucleotides) under Actinomycetota bacterium. Its description in RNAcentral is "signal recognition particle sRNA small type". It matches the Rfam family "Bacterial small signal recognition particle RNA". Rfam says of the family: The signal recognition particle (SRP) is a universally conserved ribonucleoprotein involved in the co-translational targeting of proteins to membranes. Archaeal SRP consists of a 7S RNA and homologues of the eukaryotic SRP19 and SRP54 proteins. The record is from RNAcentral. Lineage: Bacteria; Bacillati; Actinomycetota.